GCAUCGAUAGAUCAGUGGUACAGCGCAGCGGUGGGGCGUUUACCUAUGCGGCCCGGGUUCGAUCCCCGGUCGAUGCA
Non-coding RNA from Phthorimaea operculella (potato tuberworm), 77 nucleotides. Lineage: Eukaryota; Metazoa; Arthropoda; Insecta; Lepidoptera; Gelechiidae. The record is from the annotation of a GenBank genome assembly.